RNAcentral lists this ribosomal RNA (114 nucleotides) under Labrus bergylta (ballan wrasse). The record is from RNAcentral. Lineage: Eukaryota; Metazoa; Chordata; Actinopteri; Labriformes; Labridae.
GCUUACGCCAUACCACCCUGAACACGCCCGAUCUCGUCCGAUCUCGGAAGCUAAGCAGGUCGGCCUGGUUAGUACUUGGAUGGGAGACCGCCUGGAAUACCAGUGCUGUAAGCU